This 1858-nucleotide long non-coding RNA is filed under the name Gallus gallus (chicken). RNAcentral's name for it is "lncRNA (ENSGALG00010000219.1)". Lineage: Eukaryota; Metazoa; Chordata; Aves; Galliformes; Phasianidae. The record is from RNAcentral.
CUGCAGUCCCGUUGCUGCCCCGGGUGCUGCAGAGGCCCAGAGCCACUCACCAGGCACCCUCCAGCUCCAGCUCCUCCCGCUCCUCUUGCAGGCGCUGUCUUUCCUGGCGCAGCACCUGGCAGACAAAAGCGUGAGUGCCCAUGCCCGCUGCAGUUGCCCUCCAGGUCCCCACCUGGGGUCAGGCAGCCCCCAUCCCCUCGCCCCUCCACGCUACCUCGAUCUCCUCUGUCUCAGCCUUCAGCUGAUCUUCCAGCUGGGCAAUGAACUGCUUCUCCUGCAAAGACAAUGGCUGUGCCAUGUGGGGUGGCUGCGCUGGGCCCCACGGACCCGAGGGAUGGGGACCAAGGUCCUCCCACAGAGCCAAAGCUGUGAGUGCACUGAGCUCUGAGGACGAGCCCCAGCUCCACCCUACCUGCUCCAGAUCCUCCUUCCUGGCAGCUGUUCUUUCUGCCCGUAUUUGCUGGGCAUCCUGCAGGAAAGGGGAAGGGGAGCGGCCAUCAGGGCACCGACGCUCUCACGAAGCUCCAUCUGACAGCAGCUCCAUGCCACACUCCCCUCCUGCCUCCUCCAUGGAGGAGCUGCAGACCCACACGAGGGGACAUCUGCUCACCUUCAUCAAGGAUUCCCUGGCCUCAGCCUUGCGCUUCUCCACGGCGCGCUCAUGAGCCUGUGGGAGGGGAGAGGAGCAGCGUUGGCACCGAGGUGCUGCCGGCAGCUCUGCAUCCCACCGGAGGUGCCCGGCCCUCUGCUGCCAUGCCAUGGGCAGGCUGCCCUCCAGCCGGCAGCUCCCCCCGCCGGCCCUUCUGUGUCUGUGCACCCAGAGCUCACCAGCAGCUCCUCCUCCACCAGCUUCGCACGCCACACCGCCCUUAAUCUUCUGCUGACACACUGGGCCCGCAUUACUGCACCACUCGCACAGCUCCUCGCUGGACCAGCACCACCCGCAGAAUGGGGCCAGCAGGUUCCGCGCUGACCCACUGCCCCUGCCCCACCCCAGGGCAUCUGUGAGGUCAUCACGUCAUGGUGACAUCACCCGCACAGGAGGGUCCUGGAAGAUCAUAGAACCAUAGGAUGGUCCGUGUUGGAAGGGUCCUGGAAGAUCAUAGAACUGCAGGACGGCGUGGCUUGGGAGGUUCCUUAGUGAUCACAGAACCAUAGAAUGGUUUGUGUUGCAAGAGUCCUGGAAGAUGAUAGAACCACAGGAUGGUGUGGCUUGGAAGGGUCCUGGAAGAUCAUAGAAUCACAGAAUGGUUCUUUGAAACAGCUGUGAAGGAUCUGUGAGCAAAUCCGCCGUCAGUAGUUGGUGCCGCGGGAAGGCCUGAGGUCCGACCUUUCCUCCAACGGCUUCAGUGUAACUUUGGAAAGACAGUGCUCACACCUGGUUUGUUCUAUCUGCCAGGACGUCUGUUCCCUCAGAUGGCAUUUCUGGAGUCGGUUUCCCCAGCUCCGGAAAGAAGGGUUUGUGUUAGGGUUAGGAUUAUCAUUAAGUUUACCAUUACGGUUAGUGCUGGAGUUAGGGCUAUGGUUAGGGCUAGGGUUUGGCUUAGGGUUAGGCUUAGGCUUAGGGCUAUGGAUUGGGUUAGGGUUAGCUGUUGGCUUAGGUUUAGGAUUAGGGAUUGCCUUAGGUUUAGGAUUAGGUGUUGGUUUAGAUGUUGGGCUAGGGUUAGGGUUUGGGUUAGGCGUUGGUUUAGGUCUCCCCGGGGCCCUCUCUUCUCCAAGCUGAACAAGCCCAGUUCCCUCAACCUUUCCUCACAGGAGAGGUGCUCCAGCCCUCUGGCCAUCUUAGUGGCCCUCCUCUGGACCUGCUCCAAGAGCGCCACGUCCUUCCUGUGCUGGGGGCUCCAGGCCUGGACGCGGU